RNAcentral lists this transfer RNA (77 nucleotides) under Thermochaetoides thermophila DSM 1495. RNAcentral describes it as "Chaetomium thermophilum var. thermophilum DSM 1495 tRNA-Ala". It matches the Rfam family "tRNA". Rfam says of the family: Transfer RNA (tRNA) molecules are approximately 80 nucleotides in length. Their secondary structure includes four short double-helical elements and three loops (D, anti-codon, and T loops). Lineage: Eukaryota; Fungi; Ascomycota; Sordariomycetes; Sordariales; Chaetomiaceae. The record is from RNAcentral.
GGGCGUGUAGCUCAUUUGGUAGAGCGCUCGCUUAGCAUAUAUGCGAGAGGUACUGGGUUCGAUUCCCAGCUCGUCCA